Molecule: ribosomal RNA, 253 nt
Filed under: uncultured bacterium
Lineage: Bacteria
Description: partial 16S ribosomal RNA
Rfam family: Bacterial small subunit ribosomal RNA
Source: RNAcentral
UACGUAGGUGUCGAGCGUUGUCCGGAUUUAUUGGGCGUAAAGAGCCCGCAGGCGGCUUGGCAAGUUUGAGGUGAAAUCUCCCGGCUUAACUGGGAGGGGGCCUCGAAAACUGCCAGGCUUGAGGCAUGGAGAGGGAUGCGGAAUUCCCGGUGUAGUGGUGAAAUGCGUAGAUAUCGGGAGGAACACCAGUGGCGAAGGCGGCAUCCUGGACCAACACUGACACUGAGGAGCGAAAGCCAGGGGAGCAAACGGG